Molecule: small nucleolar RNA, 101 nt
Filed under: Olea europaea subsp. europaea
Lineage: Eukaryota; Viridiplantae; Streptophyta; Magnoliopsida; Lamiales; Oleaceae
Description: Small nucleolar RNA Z161/Z228
Rfam family: Small nucleolar RNA Z161/Z228
About the family: Z161 and Z228 are members of the C/D class of snoRNA which contain the C (UGAUGA) and D (CUGA) box motifs. Most of the members of the box C/D family function in directing site-specific 2'-O-methylation of substrate RNAs.
Source: Rfam by way of RNAcentral
AAUCCAAAUGAUGAACUAGGAUUUAAAAUCUCACGACGGUCGUCUGAGACAAGAUUUCUUGUCGCCAUUGAUGCAGUUAUAAUCCAAUUUCUCUGAUGGUU